This 548-nucleotide ribosomal RNA is filed under the name uncultured bacterium. RNAcentral's name for it is "bacterial SSU rRNA". It matches the Rfam family "Bacterial small subunit ribosomal RNA", at positions 355 to 896 of the family's 1533-position model. The record is from RNAcentral.
UAGGGAAUCUUCCGCAAUGGGCGAAAGCCUGACGGAGCAACGCCGCGUGAGUGAAGAAGGAUUUCGGUUCGUAAAGCUCUGUUGUUAGGGAAGAAUGAUUGUGUAGUAACUAUACACAGUAGAGACGGUACCUAACCAGAAAGCCACGGCUAACUACGUGCCAGCAGCCGCGGUAAUACGUAGGUGGCAAGCGUUGUCCGGAAUUAUCGGGCGUAAAGCGCGCGCAGGUGGUUUAAUAAGUCUGAUGUGAAAGCCCACGGCUCAACCGUGGAGGGUCAUUGGAACCUGUUAAACUUGAGUGCAGGAGAGAAAAGUGGAAUUCCUAGUGUAGCGGUGAAAUGCGUAGAGAUUAGGAGGAACACCAGUGGCGAAGGCGGCUUUUUGGCCUGUAACUGACACUGAGGCGCGAAAGCGUGGGGAGCAAACAGGAUUAGAUACCCUGGUAGUCCACGCCGUAAACGAUGAGUGCUAAGUGUUGGUCUCAUAAGAGAUCAGUGCUGCAGCUAACGCAUUAAGCACUCCGCCUGGGGAGUACGACCGCAAGGUUG